Long non-coding RNA from Agrilus planipennis (emerald ash borer), 480 nucleotides. RefSeq lists it as uncharacterized. NCBI's taxonomy places the organism in Eukaryota, Metazoa, Arthropoda, Insecta, Coleoptera, Buprestidae. The record is from RefSeq and is a predicted model, not a curated record. The transcript has 5 exons.
CUUUCGGUCGAGUCGCAGUAAAGUUUCGUUUGAUCGGGUAGUAAUUACCGUUUAUAAUGUGUUGUAUGUGCUUUUGUGGUUAAUAUAUUACGAUAAAGUAUUACCUAAUAAGUAGUAGGAUAAACCGAAAAGAACGCCUUUGCGAUGAAUGACAAUAGACAAAUGACUCUUUACCAAGAUCAGUUCUGUGUGUGGUAUCCUGUAAGACAUUUAAAGCCUACAGUAGUGCUUUCAUCUGAGCACCUUCGACAUAUUUCACUUUAGUUGAUUAUGGAUCGAUGUAUCGAUCUGGGCGUAAAGCUGCAAUACUAGAAACUUGAAAAGGUGCGAGGCAUGUGGCAGCAAUGACUACACUGGGGAAGAAGAAGCAUUGUGCAAUAAGAAGUCCCUGAAAACAUAUCCCCUUGAUGCCUGAAGUCCAGCUGUAAAUCUUUAGCCCAUUCCCUGUUUAGCCAUCUUAUUAAAAGAACAGACAGACAG